CCUACGGGGGGCUGCAGUGAGGAAUAUUGGUCAAUGGGCGCGAGCCUGAACCAGCCAAGUAGCGUGAAGGAUGACUGCCCUACGGGUUGUAAACUUCUUUUAUACAGGAAUAAAGUGCGGCACGUGUGCCUUUUUGUAUGUACUUUAUGAAUAAGGCUCGGCUAACUCCGUGCCCGCAGCCGCGGUAAUACGGAGGAUCCGAGUGUUAUCCGGAUUUAUUGGGUUUAAGGGGUGGGUAGGCGGAUGUUUAAGUCAGCGGUAAAAGGUCCGGGCUAAACCCGGGCCGGCCGUUGAGAUUGGGGGUCUUGAGUGUGCGAGAAGUAGGCGGAAUGCGUGGUGUAGCGGUGAAAUGCAUAGAUAUCACGCAGAACACCGAUUGCGAAGGCAGCAUACCGGCGCCCGACUGACGCUGAGGCACGAAAGCGUGGGGAUCGAACAGGAGUAGAUACCCGAGUAGUC
This 459-nucleotide ribosomal RNA is filed under the name uncultured bacterium. RNAcentral's name for it is "partial 16S ribosomal RNA". It matches the Rfam family "Bacterial small subunit ribosomal RNA", at positions 338 to 795 of the family's 1533-position model. The record is from RNAcentral.